UCGGCAUUUCCGGUCGCGACCAUGUCGACCAGAUCGGAGUCGAGCAGCAACGGAGAGUGUUCGAGGAUCGGAACCGCCACCGAUGCCUGAUCGACAGCAAGCGCCGCCACNGCAUCCAGCGAGUGCGCGAAAACUUCCGCCAUCGCCUGCCGCACCAGCGGCGAGGCAUCAUGAGAAGCAUCAGCAGCGCGCCUUCCGCGGCGGCGCGAUCGUCUUCCGACAAAUCGGAAAUGAGCCAGGCGCGGGCCAGACACCGCGUCGCCUCUGCGCGCUCCCCUGCGG
RNAcentral lists this unclassified non-coding RNA (282 nucleotides) under Hevea brasiliensis (rubber tree). Lineage: Eukaryota; Viridiplantae; Streptophyta; Magnoliopsida; Malpighiales; Euphorbiaceae. The record is from RNAcentral.